UACGGAGGGGGCGAGCGUUGUCCGAAGUUACUGGGCGUAAAGCGCGCGUAGGCGGGUUGGUAAGUCCGCUGUGAAAGCCCGGAGCUCAACUCCGGAGGGUCGGUGGAUACUGCCAGUCUUGAAGGUGCUAGGGGGAGAUGGAAUUACCGGUGUAGCGGUGAAAUGCGUAGAGAUCCGGAGGAACACCGGUGGCGAAGGCGGCUUCCUGGACCGACACUGACGCUGAGGCGCGAAAGCUAGGGGAGCAAACGGG
Molecule: ribosomal RNA, 253 nt
Filed under: uncultured bacterium
Lineage: Bacteria
Description: partial 16S ribosomal RNA
Rfam family: Bacterial small subunit ribosomal RNA
Source: RNAcentral